GUGCUCGCUUCGGCAGCACAUAUACUAAACUGGAAUGAUACAGAGAUUAGCAUGGUUCUUGUGCAAGGAUGACAUGCAAAUUCAUGAAGCAUUCCAUAUUUUU
Small nuclear RNA from Sciurus carolinensis (gray squirrel), 103 nucleotides. The record is from RefSeq and is a predicted model, not a curated record. NCBI's taxonomy places the organism in Eukaryota, Metazoa, Chordata, Mammalia, Rodentia, Sciuridae.